This 660-nucleotide small RNA is filed under the name Pan troglodytes (chimpanzee). Its description in RNAcentral is "retained intron". The record is from RNAcentral. Lineage: Eukaryota; Metazoa; Chordata; Mammalia; Primates; Hominidae.
CAAUUCGCCAGCGGUUCAGGUGGCUCUUGCCUCGAUGUCCUAGCCUAGGGGCCCCCGGGCCGGACUUGGCUGGGCUCCCUUCACCCUCUGCGGAGUCAUGAGGGCGAACGACGCUCUGCAGGUGCUGGGCUUGCUUUUCAGCCUGGCCCGGGGCUCCGAGGUGGGCAACUCUCAGGCAGUGUGUCCUGGGACUCUGAAUGGCCUGAGUGUGACCGGCGAUGCUGAGAACCAAUACCAGACACUGUACAAGCUCUACGAGAGGUGUGAGGUGGUGAUGGGGAACCUUGAGAUUGUGCUCACGGGACACAAUGCCGACCUCUCCUUCCUGCAGUGGAUUCGAGAAGUGACAGGCUAUGUCCUCGUGGCCAUGAAUGAAUUCUCUACUCUACCAUUGCCCAACCUCCGCGUGGUGCGAGGGACCCAGGUCUACGAUGGGAAGUUUGCCAUCUUCGUCAUGUUGAACUAUAACACCAACUCCAGCCACGCUCUGCGCCAGCUCCGCUUGACUCAGCUCACCGAGAUUCUGUCAGGGGGUGUUUAUAUUGAGAAGAACGAUAAGCUUUGUCACAUGGACACAAUUGACUGGAGGGACAUCGUGAGGGACCGAGAUGCUGAGAUAGUGGUGAAGGACAAUGGCAGAAGCUGUAAGUGGCCGUGAUC